RNAcentral lists this ribosomal RNA (403 nucleotides) under bacterium. Its description in RNAcentral is "partial 16S ribosomal RNA". It matches the Rfam family "Bacterial small subunit ribosomal RNA", at positions 355 to 776 of the family's 1533-position model. The record is from RNAcentral.
GGGGGAUUAUUGCACAAUGGGGGAAACCCUGCUGCAGCGCCGCCGCGUGAACGAAGAAGGUAUUCGUAUCGUAAAGUUCUGUCCUAUGGGAAGAUAAUGACAGUACCAUAGAAGAAAGCUCCUGCUAACUACGUGCCAGCAGCCGCGGUAAUACGUAGGGAGCGAGCGUUCUCCGGAAUUAUUGGGCGUAAAGGGUACGCAGGCGGUUUAAUAAGUCGAAUGUUAAAGAUCGGGGCUCAACCCCGUAAAGCAUUGGAAACUGAUAAACUUGAGUAGUGGAGAGGAAAGUGGAAUUCCUAGUGUAGUGGUGAAAUACGUAGAUAUUAGGAGGAAUACCAGUAGCGAAGGCGACUUUCUGGACACAAACUGACGCUGAGGUACGAAAGCGUGGGGAGCAAACAGG